AGAAUCAACGCUGGCGGCGCGCCUAACACAUGCAAGUCGAACGAGAAAGUGGAGCAAUCCAUGAGUACAGUGGCGUACGGGUGAGUAACACGUGGAUAAUCUACCUCUUAGUGGGGAAUACCGCUGGGAAACCGGCGACAAUACCGCAUAAGCUCGAGAGAGGAAAGCAGCAAUGCGCUGAGAGAGGAGUCCGCGGCCGAUUAGCUAGUUGGUAGGGUAAUGGCCUACCAAGGCAACGAUCGGUAGCCGGCCUGAGAGGGCACACGGCCACACUGGCACUGAAACACGGGCCAGACUCCUACGGGAGGCAGCAGUGGGGAAUCUUGCACAAUGGGGGCAACCCUGAUGCAGCGACGCCGCGUGAGCGAUGAAGCCCUUCGGGGUGUAAAGCUCUUUCGGCAGGGAAGAUUAUGACGGUACCUGCAGAAGCAGCUGCGCUAACUACGUGCCAGCAGCCGCGGU
RNAcentral lists this ribosomal RNA (462 nucleotides) under uncultured bacterium. RNAcentral describes it as "SSU rRNA". It matches the Rfam family "Bacterial small subunit ribosomal RNA", at positions 26 to 521 of the family's 1533-position model. The record is from RNAcentral.